CGGAGCUGGCCCGGGAUAGACAGUUCACUUCUAUGUUGCCUCCUCUUCAGUUUAUCAACGUGCGAAUGAGUGAAUCCAACAGGUCCUCGGAGCUGCUGGUCUCCCGCCUCUCCGUGGUGUCCCUGGUCACCUCCCUAUCGCCAGGUGUGCGCCCUCUCCCCGCCUGCGACCUUCCCAGAAGGUGGAUGGGUCGCUGCUGUGCUUCAAGGCCUGCCAGCCUGCGGAGAAUCUGGGGACCUGUGACCUAGUCCCUCCUCCACCCCCGGGCCAGCGGCCUCCCGCUCCUCCUCGGUGUCCAGAAUUACAGCUGGGUAGGAAGCUCCCUCCGCUGACUUCUCUCCGCCGGGGGCCGGGGGUGGGGUGGGGCGAGGGGCUCUUCCGUCGUCGUGUCAGCACCUGGCCCUGUCAUUUUCUCAGCCCCCUUGCCCUGAGUCACCAUUACUUUUCCUCCGUGGGGCCGGGCUCGCGCACCUUUCCAUGCUGCAGCUCAGUGCACUGCCUGGCACGCAGUACGUGCUGGAGAGGAUGUGUUUUGUCACUGAAGGCGCAGUGAGAGACUCUGUCACCCAUGAGGCCAGGGAGACGCUGUUGGUUUGAGUGGAAUACCGAUGUGGG
Long non-coding RNA from Heterocephalus glaber (naked mole-rat), 615 nucleotides. The record is from Ensembl. Lineage: Eukaryota; Metazoa; Chordata; Mammalia; Rodentia; Bathyergidae.